GCCACUGUAGCUCAGUUGGUAGAGCUGCUGAUUUGUAAUCAGCCGGUCGGGGGUUCGAAUCCUCUCGGUGGCUCCA
This 76-nucleotide transfer RNA is filed under the name bacterium. Its description in RNAcentral is "tRNA-Thr". It matches the Rfam family "tRNA". Rfam says of the family: Transfer RNA (tRNA) molecules are approximately 80 nucleotides in length. Their secondary structure includes four short double-helical elements and three loops (D, anti-codon, and T loops). The record is from RNAcentral.